This 426-nucleotide long non-coding RNA is filed under the name Hordeum vulgare. Its description in RNAcentral is "long non-coding RNA (HVUL_LNC015530)". The record is from RNAcentral. Lineage: Eukaryota; Viridiplantae; Streptophyta; Magnoliopsida; Poales; Poaceae.
GCGAGUUUCCGAUGCCCACCACCGUACUGGUGGUCGCCGGAGGCUCCUCGUCGGCGAGGACGACCUCGCCGCCGGUGGAUCUCAGCUGGCCUGAGCCACUGACGUGUGGGGCCAGCCUUUGUAUAAUCUGGAAUAAUAAAAAUAAAAUCAAAUAAUCUAAUAAGUCACUGACAUGUGGGUCCAGUGAGGUUAAUUAGCUAAUUAAGAUUAAUUCUAAUCUAAAACUGACCAGAGUCACUGACCAGUGGGUCCCACUGGUCAGGUUUGACUUUCAACGGCCAGUUGGACCUGCUGAUGGCAUGCUAAUGCAAUAAAGAGUUUUGUGAUUUAAAAGAAUUCCAAAAAAUGCCAAAACUUCAAAAAAUCAUAGAAAUUAAUCUGUAACUCCAAUGAAAAUAAUUUAUAUAUGAAAAAGUAUCAGAAAAA